Saccostrea echinata is the source of this 317-nucleotide long non-coding RNA. RefSeq lists it as uncharacterized. NCBI's taxonomy places the organism in Eukaryota, Metazoa, Mollusca, Bivalvia, Ostreida, Ostreidae. The record is from RefSeq and is a predicted model, not a curated record. The transcript has 3 exons.
CCAAAUUACCUUUAUCUCCCGUACAAGAUCUUAAAUAUUUCUAUAUAGAUCUCCAAUAUGAAAAGCCUGGUAUUUAUUCUAUGUUUAGGAUCCGUCUGUUACGUAUCAAGCCAAAUACAUUGUGAUGAAGACCAUCCUUGCCCAAAUUUUUGUCCAGAUCAUUACCAUGAGCAGUGUGUCCGGAAGGUCUGCACGUGUCUAAAUCAUUCAUGCACAACAGCAGAACAAUGUCCAACUGGCAACAUGAUUGGUUGUCCUCCUGGAAUGGCGACUUGUAAAGACGGCCACUGCUACUGUAACAGACACUAAUCUGAAUU